This 232-nucleotide ribosomal RNA is filed under the name uncultured bacterium. RNAcentral's name for it is "partial 16S ribosomal RNA". It matches the Rfam family "Bacterial small subunit ribosomal RNA", at positions 99 to 334 of the family's 1533-position model. The record is from RNAcentral.
CGGACGGGUGAGUAAUGUCUGGGAAACUGCCUGAUGGAGGGGGAUAACUACUGGAAACGGUAGCUAAUACCGCAUAACGUCGCAAGACCAAAGAGGGGGACCUUAGGGCCUCUUGCCAUCGGAUGUGCCCAGAUGGGAUUAGCUAGUAGGUGGGGUGACGGCUCACCUAGGCGACGAUCCCUAGCUGGUCUGAGAGGAUGACCAGCCACACUGGAACUGAGACACGGUCCAG